RNAcentral lists this transfer RNA (62 nucleotides) under Colpocephalum griffoneae. Its description in RNAcentral is "tRNA-Ala". Lineage: Eukaryota; Metazoa; Arthropoda; Insecta; Psocodea; Menoponidae. The record is from RNAcentral.
GGGGAGUAAGUUUAAUUUAAAUAUUUAAUUUGCAAUUAAAAGAAGGAUUUUUCCACUCCUUA